GACGAACGCUGGCGGCGUGCUUAACACAUGCAAGUCGAACGGUGAAGCGCCUUCCUUUUUGGUGGGUGUGGAUGAGUGGCGAACGGGUGAGUAACACGUGAGUAACCUGCCCCCUUCUUCUGGAUAACCGCAUGAAAGUGUGGCUAAUACGGGAUAUUCUGGGUCUGUCGCAUGAUGGGUCUGGGAAAGAUAUUGUUUCGGUGGGGGAUGGGCUCGCGGCCUAUCAGCUUGUUGGUGGGGUGAUGGCCUACCAAGGCGGUGACGGGUAGCCGGCCUGAGAGGGUGGACGGUCACACGGGGACUGAGACACGGCCCAGACUGCUACGGGAGGCAGCAGUGGGGAAUAUUGAACAAUGGGCGAAAGCCUGAUGCAGCGACGCCGCGUGAGGGAUGGAGGCCUUCGGGUUGUGAACCUCUUUCGCCAGUGAAGCAGGCCUGCCUCGUUUGUGGGUGGGUUGACGGUAGCUGGAUAAGAAGCGCCGGCUAACUACGUG
RNAcentral lists this ribosomal RNA (494 nucleotides) under uncultured bacterium. Its description in RNAcentral is "partial 16S ribosomal RNA". It matches the Rfam family "Bacterial small subunit ribosomal RNA", at positions 28 to 507 of the family's 1533-position model. The record is from RNAcentral.